RNAcentral lists this long non-coding RNA (832 nucleotides) under Solanum tuberosum (potato). RNAcentral describes it as "long non-coding RNA (STUB_LNC011890)". The record is from RNAcentral. Lineage: Eukaryota; Viridiplantae; Streptophyta; Magnoliopsida; Solanales; Solanaceae.
CACGAAGUGAGUUUUCAAGACAUCAACAAGGCUUUUGAUUUACUCGUUGAAGGAAAGAGUCUACGAUGUGUUAUUUGGAUGGAUAAGUGAUCGAUCCCUGUUAUACUUGUCUCGUGUUCUUGAAAAAGGAUUGCUUCAUAUUCCAUAUGAAUCGUGACGUUAAUUCAAUCUGUAACUAUACUUGUCUCGUGUUCUUGAAAAAAGGAUUGCUUCAUAAUCCAUAUGAAUCGUGACGUUAAUUCAAUAUGUAACUAUACUUGUCUCGUGUUCUUGAAAAGGAUUGCUUCAUAUUCCAUAUGAAUCGUGACGUUAAUUCGAUAUGUAACUAUACUUGUCUCGUGUUCUUGAAAAAAGGAUUGCUUCAUAUUCCAUAUGAAUCGUGACGUUAAUUCGUAUAUGUAACUAUACUUGUCUCGUGUUCUUGAAAAGGAUUGCUUCAUAAUCCAUAUGAAUCGUGACGUUAAUUCAAUCUGUAACUAUACUUGUCUCGUGUUCUUGAAAAAGGAUUGCUUCAUAAUCCAUAUGAAUCGUGACGUUAAUUCGAUAUGUAACUAGGAUUAUACAAGAUCAAGAAUAUUUCAGUGUAAUGUUAUUACUCUUUUGCAUAUUUUUGUUGAAUCUUUCUGUUGUCUGCUUUCAUUUGAAGCACAAUCAGAAGUUAAAGGAGUGAAGUAAAUAAACAUAUUACUUAAUGCGCUCACAAACAUUCACAUUUUAAGGGCACAAUUUAUAUAGUAAUAACUUACUCUAAGAUUUUUUAUUUUUUUUAUGGUAUGCCACUCCUCGAGCAAGGAGUGUCAAUUUUUUUGAUCGUAUUGAAUACAAAUUCAUG